GUCGGGAUAGCUCAGCUGGUAGAGCAGAGGACUGAAAAUCCUCGAGUCACCAGUUCAAAUA
RNAcentral lists this transfer RNA (61 nucleotides) under Averrhoa carambola. RNAcentral describes it as "partial tRNA-Phe". It matches the Rfam family "tRNA", at positions 1 to 59 of the family's 71-position model. From Rfam's summary of the family: Transfer RNA (tRNA) molecules are approximately 80 nucleotides in length. Their secondary structure includes four short double-helical elements and three loops (D, anti-codon, and T loops). The record is from RNAcentral. Lineage: Eukaryota; Viridiplantae; Streptophyta; Magnoliopsida; Oxalidales; Oxalidaceae.